UACGUAGGGUGCGAGCGUUAAUCGGAAUUACUGGGCGUAAAGCGUGCGCAGGCGGUUGUGCAAGACAGAUGUGAAAUCCCCGGGCUUAACCUGGGAAUUGCAUUUGUGACUGCACGGCUAGAGUGUGUCAGAGGGGGGGUAGAAUUCCACGUGUAGCAGUGAAAUGCGUAGAGAUGUGGAGGAAUACCGAUGGCGAAGGCAGCCCCCCUGGGCCAAUACUGACGCUCAUGCACGAAAGCGUGGGGAGCAAACAGG
RNAcentral lists this ribosomal RNA (255 nucleotides) under uncultured bacterium. Its description in RNAcentral is "partial 16S ribosomal RNA". It matches the Rfam family "Bacterial small subunit ribosomal RNA", at positions 524 to 776 of the family's 1533-position model. The record is from RNAcentral.